Non-coding RNA from Doryrhamphus excisus (bluestripe pipefish), 10240 nucleotides. NCBI's taxonomy places the organism in Eukaryota, Metazoa, Chordata, Actinopteri, Syngnathiformes, Syngnathidae. The record is from RefSeq and is a predicted model, not a curated record.
CCUGUAUAAUUGCCUCCUGUGCUUGCUAGUGUCUGCUGUGCGGUCGAGAAGUAGCAUGUUGGUUCACACACAGCAGACACGGAAAUAUGCACGCACAUAUCAGCAUGCCGUCUCUGGAAAAGGUCAUUAAAGCGCAAAACGACAUGGUUACCCAGCGUCAAGACUCCGUAGCUUGGAAACAUGAGGCUGGUGAUGUAAGACGCUCUCUGAACUUUAAUAGGCAUCGCCUGACCCCAAAAAAAAAAAAAAAAUCACGCUAUUUUGGGUAUUUUAAGGCAUGUUGCUUGUGGAGAUCUUAGUUAGGCAGCAUAUUUGAUGAAGAGAGAGCAAUAAUGAAUUUCAUAGACUCUGGGCUUGAGAGGCUUGAUAGAAAAAUGCAUAUCCAAAAUGCAUCUACAUGGUUUAAAGCUUGUUUUUCUAUAACCUGUGGCACAUUGGAGAAAUAAAAUGACACUAAAAAAAACAGCAAAAAGGCUAACCGUAAAGAGAUGAAGAAUCCCAAAAAUGGAAAAGUUGCUGAGUGUCAACAAAGGAGAGAUAACCUGACAUUAUGUUGUGUUAGCAGAAAGCUGCCAGAAUGGAACAACUGGCUCUGUCAAGUGUUGGCAGGUCUGACUGACUACACACAGACAGACGCAACCCAUAGAGACAUAAUUAGCAAUGACAGGCUUGAAGAAGAUACCUUGCUUGGUAAAAUUAAAAGAGAGCAGCCAAAUAGAUUAUGCUGGAAAUAGUUUGGCAUCGCAGCUCUUUGUAAGCAAAAGCCAUUGAACGACCACAUCAUGCUGACACUGCAGUCAAAGGAUUUCUCAGAAGUUCAAACAUAAAAAAGCAAAAUAAAAGAAGCUACUAAUGAGCAUUCUUGUUUACGUGGAAGCUAAAUGAAAGGGCAAAUUACUUUAAGAAAGUCAUCUGUUCAAUGAAAGUCAUAAAUCACCGUAGUUACCAGUUAUUUUCCCCAAAAAGUAGGGAUAUCCCAUAAAAUCCGCCGACCAAUAUUAUCAACCAAAAAUCACGUAGUCACAUAACACAAAAUAAUAAGCGAUUGGAGCCCAGUUUAUAAUUUAAUUGACUGUAUUAGUCCGGUUUCAAACUUUACUUUGCAUUUUACUUUGUUCUUACAUGGAUGUUUGUGCCACAUAGAAAUGUGCAUUUUCAAAUGAUAUUAGUGCCGGCAUAAUUUAAUUGGAUUUCCAUUUGUGAAUGCAUUAAAUCUAAUCUGUCCUGUUUACUGUCAGGCAAACUGAUCCAGUCAUGGCAUCAUACAUGCUGAUGAAUAACACUAAAGUUCCGAAGGUAUGUUUACCAUACAGCAACAACAGAUUAACAUACAGUACAUGCAAGCACAUACAUCAAGCACAGAAAACAUCUAUGGGACGGUUGCUGAAAUAACUAACAUGGAACUGUUAAGAACUGCAUUUUUAAAAAGUGAAAGGACAGUAAGGAAACUCAGUAAGGAUAAGUAUACAAGAUCUUGGCGAAAACUGAAUGCAACACAGAACAGAAAUGAACUGAAGUGGGAGAGAGAGUCAGUAUUUUUGUGAGUCUUGAGUCAAGUCUCAAGUAAACAUGUGCAAGUCCAAGAAGAGUGGAGUCAAGUCUGAAGACAUAGGCUAGAAAGGUUUGAGUCCUUGCAUCUCAGAAGCCAGAAUCACUAAUGCCAAAGUCCAAGUCGUAAGUCAAGUCAAGUCCAAAGUCAUUACAAUUUGCGUCAGUCAAGUCGAAUGUGACAUUGCAGAAUCUUGUUUCCCGAAAUCAAAGUUAAAGGUAGUCCAACCAAAUAUUUGCAUAUGUGACCUUUUUAUGGCCUAUGGGAGUGUAGUACCCAUUCAUAAAGAAACAGAAAAACAUAAUGCAUGCAUGCCAGGCCAGUAAUUGGCCAUGUCCCUAAGUACAGGAGCACACUUGCUUUGUUUUCUUUCUUCUUUUUUGAGUUAAAACCCUGUUCCAAUUAUCCACUGCAAUAGAAGAACUAAGGGUCCAUCAUAAAAAAAAGUGUAGAAUUAUAUAACCUUGUCAUCAUGAUAGAUCAGCUGUGACGACGUCCAGUGAGGUGGUUAUUGGUACUUUUGUGGCUAUUGGCGCCAGAAAAAGGCUUAGCCUGUGUCUCUCAGCCAAGCUGACGAGCAGGACACAAGGGGUAAUUAUUGGGAGACAUUUGAGACAGAUGGCACAGAUCGGACCGGCGGUCAGUCUAGUUGUCCUGCUAGCCAGGUUCCAGAAAAAGACUGUGCGGGCAGCCACACAGACGACUGUUUACAUGUGCACGUUUGUGCAUGUUUGUUUGUGUGCAUACAUGGAUUUGGUUUGUGUCAAGUCUCGGAAGAUGCUUUGCAAUGGUGGAGAGGUGUCGGUAUGUGUGUGUUGGGGGGUUUUGGAGGUUUGUGUUCACAGGGUUGAAGUGAGACAAGUUGCAUUGAUGGGGACCAGACAGCAAUGGUUUGCUAAUAAGGGAACUUUGUUUAUGUUAGGUGAUAUAAAUGUAGUACUUUGUAGGGCACUCCUGUUUAUCUGUUCAUAAGGAAAGGACUUAAAACUAAUCAAAUGGGUUUUAUGAUCAUCUUAGUAUGAGCGUUAAAUUAAUAAUAUAUUGAUAUAAUACAUUCCCACCCGCAAAUGGCAAAAAAAAUGACAGCAAUGGAGAUGCAAACCAUCCUGCCAGCUUGAUAUUGACUCUCCUUGUAUUUCAUAUUAACAUUUGCGAUAAACGUAAUUCUUAUUUUAGAUUAGAUUCAGCUCCAAAAUGUCUCACAUCCUUAUUAAACUCUAAUCACCUCUAAUGAGUGCAAUUUGAUCGAUGAACAGAUUUGCAGUCACGGUGCAGCCUUUAGCCUGGUCAACAGGCUAAUGCUCGAGGCUAGCAAGCGCGAGACGGUGUUUCUCCAAAGCGCCUCUAAUUGUCUCAUGGGAUUUAAUUGGUUUAGCAUGAGUAUAGUUGCAUAGGUAUAGAUGUGUGUUGAACUACAGGAUCUAUCUUUCACUUACACCUCUGACAGCAGCUAUGGUGUGUUCACUGACCGAAGUGCGAAAGUGCGAAAUCUCAGCGUUUGAGGAAAAAACAUCGAAAGUGCAUAAAGACAUAAACUUGUAACAAUUGUGGUUUUUCUUAACAGUGAUACAUGUAUGCUGAACAGUAUUAUCAUCUAUUUAUCAAUUAGUAUGACUUUGGGUGAAUAUUUUCUGUGGGAAAAAAACACAUAAAAACCUAUGAAUUUGUGGGGUUGCGAUAUGCCAGAAUUCACUGCAUAGUUUUUUUAAAUAUAUUUAAUUAUAUAUAAAAAAAAAUAAUUCUAUUAUUAUUGUCUCUCAUUGCCGAUUACCACUACCUUAUGACGAUUCUUUCCCCUAAAAAUGACUAUUUCAUGUAUUUUUCUACAUUUUUCAAACAGUUCUCCCUUUCAAAUUAUAUGUGGUCCAAAUGUCAAGAGUUUCUUAACACACAUUGUGAGAAGGAUCUUGUAUUCUGGGUCAGACAUUAAUAAUACACUCCCUUCGGGCUAUUUUAAAGACACGCAUUGAGGCCCAUUCAGCCAAUGGGGGCAGACAGUUCUGGUGGACAGUUAGGUUUGGCAAAUGCCGCACUGAACAAAUGUCAUGCCAAGUGUGGUCGCAGUAACGGUAGCAGUUGUGGUUACCAUUCCCGAGAAGGAUGGAACAGCCGUCCAGGCAUUGGAGCAACCGUUCCGCAAAAGGAAGUGUUCACCGACCACACUUUUCCAUCCCUUUCAUAGCUAAACACAUGUGCGUCCGUGCACGUGCCUGCUCUCUCUCUCACACACACACACACACACACACAUGCUGACUCACUCACCUGUAGGCGUUUUGAUCAAACGCCUCAGCAGAAGUGAAUCCCAGCAUGCCGCAGACGACAUUGCUGCUGGUGAGGUCCCAGCCGUGACUGCACACAUGACGCCAUUUCCCAGCGUACUUCACUUCCAGCACUCCUUCGUUCACCAAGCCGCCGCGGCUGCCGGACAGCACGGCUUUGAGGCGAGCCUCGGUCAGCUGAACGCUGUCAGAACUCUGUCACAGAACAUUUGAAAAGGUGGCGUAAGGAUUUAUAGGGUGCUGCGUUUAUUCUCAACAGACUUUUAAUUUGAAAGGGCUUACAGUAUAGCUUGGAGACACCAAAGCUUAAACAGGAAACUUUGGGUUGAACAUUUAAAAAUGCUAGCGUAAAGAUUCUGAUUCUUGAUACAGUCAAACGCCCCACUAUGAUUCGGUUGAGAAGUACAGAUGUAAAAGUCAAGGGUGCUAAGACAGUACUUUGGAGGAUACCUAUGAGAGUAUAGUGUGUUUUACCUGGAUGGAGUGGGAAUCAGUCACGGGAUAAACAGGCUCUGGUUCGACAUGAUUCCCGCUGUACGGUUGAUGCCUCUCAGACUGCCUGUUGGUCUCUCGCUCAGCCUGGCGUCUUGAUGCAGGCGUUCCGCUCCUCGACGUGUCCUGCUCCUGUCUUUGGGUUGUACCGGCCGCCGGUCUCGAUAUCUGUGCUGUUGGGCCACGAUACCGUCGCAAGAUCUGUAUCUCGUGACCGUUCUCCUGCGGUGAGAUCCUGUUGCGACGGGAAGUGGGUGGGUUGCGAUGGAGCGCGAUCUCGUGACCUCGGCCGUAAGACGAGGGAAUGUGAGGUGGGGCUGGUGGUGGGUUCUCUGACUGCUGCUGCGGGGGUCUCUGUCUUGAUUGUCUCGGCUCAUUUCUGGAGGAGGAACGAGCGUCCCCUCCUGAAGCAGAGGAGAAACCAGGCCUUCUUUCUGGGCUACAAAUGAUCCCCAGGUCCUCAACGUGGGUGCAGUCGUGGACUCCCCAACCGUUUGAGCCACAUUCUGCAAUAGAGAGCUCAGUGCCUCUGCAGUUCACAUUAUCCAACCAGAUCUGACCUAAGAAAGAGAAAGCGAGAGGACAAUUUGACACAAACUGGACGGAGAGUAUCUUUCCCGACUAUCUGACCGAUACGUACCUUGCCCCUGACCAAACCUGGCACUGGGCGCCCAGGUGAAACUCUGUUGAAAGCCCAACUGUCUACACACUACGUUAGCCAGGUUGAGAUUCACCUGGUCGUCACACACCGUGCCCCAUACGCCGUUGUACAACACCUCCAGACGCCCUUCGUUGACUUUGCGACUCCCUGCAAGCCGCACCUGCACCUCCUGCGCAGAUAACUCAGCGGGGUAGAGAAAAAGCAGCAGGAGGAGAGCGGAUAAGGAGCUGAGGAACAGCAUCCUGGAGGAAGCAAAGUGUAACGAGGAGAAGAGAAGCAAUGUCAGAUUAGGAUGAGAUGAGGAACGUCAAGGAGCUAUGCUUGAAUAAAAACACCACAAAAUUCCCUUGAAAUCAUGCAAAUGAUGCCAUAUUGACAUUCUUUCCUUUGACAGAGCGUAUAAUUAGAAACUGCGCCUCUUUCCCUAAUGUGGCAUUCCGAGGCGGAGCAAAGGAUUUAUAGGUGUUUUUUAAAAACUUUAUUGAUAGUCAAAGUUGUUUAAAGGAGAGUGGGAAACUUGAGAAACUGUGAAAAAAGAACAGUUUGAACCAAUGGAAGCGGCGCUAAAAGUAGCGCAGUUAUCCAGCCAAAGGAAACUUUGGCUUUCCGCAAACCCUCUAGUUUGGCUGCACACUUUUAGCACGCAGACACAAAAGCAAAUAAACACCGUCGUGAAAUUGUAGUAAACACCAGGUAUGCAUCUGGUCAAUGGGCAAUUGUGACAGGAAACUCUAAAAGAGGUCAAAGUUCUAUUUGCAGUUUACUUGCGGAAUCAUCUAUCGCCUGCAGCAUUCAAAGACCGCAUAUGCACGUUUAGCAUAAUUCACCUUUCGAGACGUUUGGAUUAAUGUCGUUAAAAAGUAGUAGUCCCUGAAGACGCACAGUGAAGACAUUAAAGAGCAAAAAAAGGAUGAAGAUGAACUCCUACCUGUUGUUCUCAACCUGGAGUCAGUGGGAGAGAAGGAGUGAGGGAGCACUGGAGGAAAAAAAAAGCAGUGACUUUGCUCCUGCUGUCCCUCUAUCCUCCUCAUCUCCCUCCCUCUUUUCUUUUCUGUCACUCCCUCACAUGAGAGAUUUUAUCCAUCCCUCCCAUUUGCCUCAUUACACUUAUUCUCAUUUAUCCAAAUGGUUACAUAUUAUUACAUAUUGAGAUGUGACACCCCAUAACUCAACUACUGUAUAACCCAACAAGUGUAUAUAUUAUACAUGUAUUCAUGCUAUUCUUUUGCAGGUAGUUGACGCUCCCUCCCGCCCUUUCAGGCUAGUCACAUGAUCCGAGUACACCGAGUGGCCUUUACACAUGAUGUCCUUCUCCAGCGCCAUGCGGGACUCCUCCAGCUGGGACAGUGAUCGCCGAGCAUCGCUCAGCUGCUGCUGCAGAGAUUCCAACGUGGCGCCGAUCUGCUUCACCUCUUUUUCCAAGCUGCACACAAAACAGCUCCAUGUUGGCUCUGAGAGAGCGACGGUACAACCUGGACUCAACUACUCUCUGCGGGGCAUCUUUGUCCUGGAUGGCCUUCUGGAGAGCCACUAUGUUCCUCUCCUGAGCUCCAAUCUGCUCCAAAGUCUACACACACACACGAUGCAUAGAAUCCAAAACAAUCUGGGUGUUAUUGUGUGUGUGUGUGACCUCCUCUACCUGCUUAAGCUUCACUUCCAGUUGGAUCUUAGCGUCCAUCUGCUCUGCACAGCGUUGCAGGAAGGCUUGGUCUACAUUGUAGCACUGGACCCUCAGGUCUUUAGUGGUAUCCAGUAGCACCUGCUCCGCUAGCUCUCUGACAGGCACACGAAACAGCAUUUAGUACCUAAGACCUAAAACAUCGAAAUCCGAUCCAAACCAUGCCCGGACCUGAGAUUAUGUGUGGCCUUUUCCUCCCUCAGUGCCUUGUUGAUGUUGUUUUGUGUGAACUUGACCCAUGAUGGGAUGUUAGACAUCCUGCAAGACCACAACAACAUGAACGCCUCAAAGUGGUAGUAAUGUUGAUGAUACUGCAUGUUGUGCUACUCACUGCGCCAACAUGGAGGCCGAGACGGCGUGAUGCUGCGUGUCUGUGCUCUUGUUGUUGUAUCUUCCGCACUGGUCGUCCAACGCGUAGGCCUCGUACUUAUCUGACCAAUCGAACUCCAACGUCUGCUUGACCUCUCUGUUCGUCCUGACAACCAAAAGACACUAGUCGCUUCUCUGAACUCUGAGAAACACCAACAAGCUUUUUUAACUUUUCAAUAAUGUCUUUUGUACUUCAUGUUUAAUACACAGGAGUCAUUCAAUUUCAAAAGAAGUUUUUAAAAUAAUGCUCUAGUAUUGUUUUAGUGUUUUAACCAGAUGUCCAUGCUCUAUACAAUGUAGAGAUGCACAGGUAGAUGCAGCGUUAUUGAGGAACUAAGGCGCAUACAUUUAGAGUAGUUACUGAAUAACUAAUAAGGAACAAAUGAGUAGUUAUCGAGGAACUAAGUCACAUAUAUUUAGAGUAGUUACUGAUUAGCUAAUUAAGAAUUAAUAAUGAACAAAUGAGUAGUUAUUGAGGAACGACGGAACAUACUUUUAGAGUAGUUACAGAUGAGCUAAUUAAGACUUAAUGAGGAAAAAAAUAGUAGUUAUUGAGGAACUAAGGCACAUACAUUUAGAGUGGUUACAAAGAACUAAUACGGAACAAAUGAGUAGUUAUCAAGGAACUAAGGCACAUAUAUUUCGAGUGGUUACUGAUUAGCUAAUUAAGAUUUAAUGAUGAACAAAUGAGUAGUUAUUGAGGAACUAAGGCGCAUACAUUUAGAGUAGUUACUGAAGAACUAAUACGGAACAAAUGAGUAGUUAUCGGGGAACUAAGGCCCAUAUAUGUAGCGUAGUUACUGAUUAGCUAAUUAAGAAUCAAUGAUGAACAAAUGAGUAGUUAUUGAGGAACGAUGGCACAUACUUUUAGAGUGGUUGCUGAAGAACUAAUUAAGACUUAAUGAGGAAAAAAUUGUAGUUAUUGAGGAACUAAGGUACAUACAUUUAGAGUAGUUACUGAAGAACUAAUACGGAACAAAUGAGUAGUUAUUGAGGAACGAUGGCACAUACUUUUUGAGUAGUUACUGAUGAGCUAAUUAAGACUUAAUGAGGAAAAAAUAGUUAUUGAGGAACUAAGGCACAUACAUUUAGAGUAGUUACUGAAGAACUAAUAAGGAACAAAUGAGUAGUUAUGGAGGAACUAAGGCACAUAUAUUUAGAGUGGUUGCUGAUUAGCUAAUUAAGAAUUAAUGAUGAACAAAUGAGUAGUUAUUGAGGAACGAUGGCACAUACUUUUAGAGUAGUUACUGAUGAGCUAAUUAAGAAUUAAUGAUGAACAAAUGAGUAGUUAUUGAGGAACUAUGGCACAUUCAGAGUAGUUACUGAAGAAGUAAUGAACUGAUGGGUAGAGUAGUUACUGGGGAACUAAGGCACAUACACCGAGAGUAGUGACUGAGGAACUAAUAAAGAAUUAAUGAGGAACUAAUGAAUAAUUACUGAGGAACUAAGGCACAUACAUCUGGAGUAGUUACUGAGAAACUAAUAAACUACUGAGGAACUAAUGAAUAGUUACUGAGAAACUAAAGUACACAAUUUCAGAGUAGUUACUGAGGAACUAGUAAAGAAAUAAUGAUAAGCUAAUGAAUGGUUUCUGAGGAACUAAGGCACAUACAUUUAGAGUAGUUACCGACGAACUAAUGAGGAGUUAGUACGUUAUGGUCGGAAGAACCACUUUGGGAUGAAGCCUACCUUCGUGGUUGAUUCCCCACCAUUUGUUUCAAAUCACCAACACUUUGACUUUCAGGAAACUCAAGUGGCACUCACUUGAUCUGAGUGGAAACCUGGUCCAUGGUUCUCUUCAGGAGAGCCUGGACACUCUUGAUCAAGUCCACUUCCUACUCAAAUACACAAAUGGUUAUGACGGUGGAACCCGCUUAUCUCCACCUCCCCUCGGAUUGGCUGGGGUACUAUUUCAAAGUACCCACACAGAAGCAUAUCUAAUCAAUAAAUAUAAUGUUUGGAAAGUUUAACUUGCAAUCUUCAACCAACACAUCCUUUUCACCUUGAGCAGUUCCUCCUCCACACAGUCCAGGACCAGGUCAGGCCCCAGUCUCCGGCUCCUGCAGGUCAGAUUAUCAUUAGCGAUGGCAUACGGAGUCUCCGUGGCGUCCAGCGCCUUCUCCAGCCGCAUUUUCAUCCCCUGCAGGGCCGCCGUGUCGGCCACCAGGCGGCGGAUGUGCUCCUGCAGCUCGGACUUCCAGCGAUGGAUGUCCUGGAGCCUUUCCCCCAGCAGGCGCGUCCCGUUGAUCUGGUUGCGGACCGUGGUGGUCUCUGUCUUCUCGCAGAGGAUCCGAGAGUCCUCUUGGAUGGUCUGAGCCGAGAGAUGGUCGGAGCCGGCCUGCUGAAGGAGGCUGCGGUAGCUGGAGAACCACUCGGCUGGGGUGUAUUUAGCGGAGCGGAAGCCUGCGGUAGCUAAGCCCGAGGAGGGCUGCGCGGCCUCCAGCUCUAGCGGGGCCCCUUCGUCCAGGGGCCCCGGAACCACCGCACUGCUGUCAUAUUGCGGCUUUGACACUAACACCUCCGAGCUCAUUCUCUUACAACGACAACUACAAACAAUUGAGAUACAAAUGAUAGUAAGAGCUAAGUAAGUGCCUACUUGUCCGAUAGAUGAGAGUUUGUUGACGUGUUGCCUAGAUACAGGAGCACUCAGGGGGAUCGAACUCAAGACAAGCAUGUUCGAAAUCAUUUACAUAUUACACUGAAACAUAUGAUGUGUUCUAACCUGAUGGGCCUUUCCUUUUGUUUGCCGGUGGCCAUUAUUUCACUAUGCAGUGUGCAUAAAUAAUAAUAAAAAAAGGACAAAAUAGCAAGAUACCUCUUAUUUAUAUUUGCUAUGAACGACGUAACAUGUUGCACACCAAUUUUUCCGCUUUAAUACGACAUCACACAAUGUCUUUAAAUCACAGCGCCUCCCUUUAGAACCCACUUAACAUGCGUGUAAUGUGCAACAUUCAUCAUUUAUACGUAUGCUAUUUUUUUAUAACUUGGUCAAUUCAAGCAAAGCAAUUUACGCAGACACCACUAGAGGGCGACAAUAGCACUUCUAUUACACUUCUCAUUUAUAUUUGCUAUGAACGACGUAAACAUGUUGCACACCAACUUUUCCGCCUUAUAACGACAUCACACAACUAAAUAUAUGUAUUUGAAGCACAGCGAUUCCCUUUAGAACCCACUUAACAUGCGUGUAAUGUGCAAUAUUCAUUAUUUAUACA